CUCAUAGGCCUUAUGAGUUUGGUAGUCUAACUUUUGAGUAAAAAGAAAAACAAGCAGUACAUCCCACUCCUUAACAGGCAAACCCAAAACUAUCAAAGAAUUCAUAUGUUGUCGAACAUGAGUUAAAAAGUUUCUUAUUUGUUUACCCGAACCCUUUGCAAGGUUAGGUGUAUCCAACAUACCCCUUAGGUGAGCAUUAAUAACUACCAGUUUAUUUUCAUACCUACUCUUAAGCAAAUUUAAAGCAUGUUUAUAAUUGUCAUUUGUUAAAGUGAGGUCAUUUAUUAAUUUUAAUGCUUCUCCAGAUAAAGCACCCUUUAAAUAUAAAAAUUUUUGAACCUCAUCUACAGCAUACGUUAAAAUACAAAUAUGCCCAGCCAAUCAGAGAAAUUGAGAGUGGAGCAGCACUGCUGAUCCUUUCGUGAAAGUUCGUACGUCAAAUUUCGUUGCCGAUUAGCUAAGGAAAUUGAAAAUCAACGGAUUGGGGCAGAGAAUAAUUAAAAGUAUGUUAAUAUAGUUGUAUAAUAUAGUAAUUUAAUAUUCAUUUCUCUAUGGAUUGGGGAUUGGUUUUCUUUAACUUAACCUAUAUUGCAGAUUUUAUUUGCUUUGCUUGCUUUCUAAUAAUUGAUUUAAUUAUCAACAAUUAUAUCAACUUUAUGACUAUUUGAGUAAAAAUUCAUAGUGUAUAGUGUUGAGUGUUUACUGUUUAGUGUUUAAGUUUCAUUACCUUUCAAUAAACUUGCCAGUGUUUCUUAGUGUAUAAUUUCCUUCCACUUAAACCUAUAUUUGCACUUAUCUGUUGCUGUCUGUUAGACAAUUAUGGCAUCACUAAGUCAACAAAAUGCAAUCUGUGAAGUUUGUGAUAAGGAAUUUUCAAGCACAUCUACCAGAAACAGGCAUUGGAAAAAGUUUCAUCCUGAAUUUGUUGGGAAGGAACAAAUAAAACACAUUAUAAUGUCCAAUGUGUACUAAUGAUAUCCAGACAUUUUCAUAUUUUAACUGUUUAAACAAACAUUUGCUUGAUAUUCACCAUAUAACUGUCAAAGAAUCAAUUUUAAAUUUUAGGAAUUUUGAAGAAUUCACAUAUUGGAGGGCACAAGAUAAUAGGGAAGUAGAUUAUGCUUGUCAGACCCGAAACAAGUUUAAGAAUGGGGAAGAACACAUAUUUUACAAUUGCAACAGGAGUGAUAUCAGAGGAUUUAAUAGCGCGUGCAAAGUGAGAAGUCUGGGGGAAGCAUUCGCAUUCAAGGAACAUGUCAACAAGACCAAACUCAAAUAGCUAUCAGCAUAAAAUUGUAAUAGAAGCCCAUAACAAAGCCGAAAAAAUGAAUGGUAAGGUAGAAUUUUUAGAAUUUGGAAAACUUAAAGUACAAAGUGUUUCGGUAAGUGGUAAG
This is a long non-coding RNA of Anthonomus grandis grandis, 1394 nucleotides long. RefSeq lists it as uncharacterized. Lineage: Eukaryota; Metazoa; Arthropoda; Insecta; Coleoptera; Curculionidae. The record is from RefSeq and is a predicted model, not a curated record. The transcript has 3 exons.